RNAcentral lists this unclassified non-coding RNA (391 nucleotides) under soil metagenome. RNAcentral's name for it is "partial contains 5.8S ribosomal RNA, internal transcribed spacer 2, and large subunit ribosomal RNA". The stretch from base 1 to 122 matches the Rfam family "5.8S ribosomal RNA", at positions 35 to 154 of the family's 154-position model. The record is from RNAcentral.
GAUGAAGAACGUAGCGAAAUGCGAUACAUGGUGUGAAUUGCAGAAUCCCGUGAACCAUCGAGUCUUUGAACGCAAGUUGCGCCCGAAGCCAUUAGGCCGAGGGCACGCCUGCCUGGGCGUCACACGUCGUUGCCCCCCCAUCUACUCCUUCGGGAUUGCGGGGGGCGGAUGAUGGCCUCCCGUGCGCCUCGCCGCGCGGUUGGCAUAAAUGCCAAGUCCUCGGCGACGCACGCCACGACAAUCGGUGGUUGCGAAACCUCGGUUGCCCGUCGUGUGCGGUCGUCGCGCAUCGAGGGCUCGAAAAAAUUGCCGGGUUCCGGCUCGGCUUUCAACGCGACCCCAGGUCAGGCGGGGUUACCCGCUGAAUUUAAGCAUAUCAAUAAGCGGAGGA